CGGCCUCAUAGCUGGACUUAUUGCUGGGUUAAUAGUUGCUCUUCUUUUGGUCGGAUUAUUAUUUUUAUUGUGUAAGCGUAGAUAUAAAGGCUACAAGGGUGAAGUCUUCGAAGAUGUUCCCGGUGAAAUUGAUCGAAGAAUUGCAUUUGGUCAGCUGAAAAGAUUUGCAUGGAGGGAACUACAGCUAGCUACAGAAAAUUUUAGUGAGGAAAAUGUUAUAGGACAAGGAGGCUUUGGAAGGGUUUACAAAGGGGUGCUUGCUGAUGGCACCAAGGUUGCAGUGAAACAGUCAACUAAUUAUGAAAGCCUUGGGGG
RNAcentral lists this unclassified non-coding RNA (315 nucleotides) under Hevea brasiliensis (rubber tree). Lineage: Eukaryota; Viridiplantae; Streptophyta; Magnoliopsida; Malpighiales; Euphorbiaceae. The record is from RNAcentral.